This 428-nucleotide ribosomal RNA is filed under the name uncultured bacterium. RNAcentral's name for it is "partial 16S ribosomal RNA". It matches the Rfam family "Bacterial small subunit ribosomal RNA", at positions 354 to 796 of the family's 1533-position model. The record is from RNAcentral.
GUAGGGAAUAUUGCACAAUGGGGGAAACCCUGAUGCAGCGACGCCGCGUGAGUGAUGAAGGCCUUCGGGUCGUAAAGCUCUGUCGUAUGGGACUAACAAAAUGAAGGUACCAUGCAAGAAAGGAUCGGCUAACUUCGUGCCAGCAGCCGCGGUAAGACGAGGGAUCCUAGCGUUGUUCGGAAUUAUUGGGCGUAAAGCGGGUGUAGGCGGGCCUGUCAGUCAGGUGUGAAAUCCCAGGGCUUAACCCUGGAAGUGCACUUGAUACUGCAGGUCUUGAGUGUGGUAGAGGCUAUUAGAAUUCUUGGUGUAGUGGUGAAAUACGUAGAUAUCAAGAGGAAUACCGGAGGCGAAGGCGGAUAGCUGGGCCAACACUGACGCUGAGACCCGAAAGCGUGGGGAUCAAACAGGAUUAGAAACCCCUGUAGUCC